Eriocheir sinensis (Chinese mitten crab) is the source of this 472-nucleotide long non-coding RNA. RefSeq lists it as uncharacterized. Lineage: Eukaryota; Metazoa; Arthropoda; Malacostraca; Decapoda; Varunidae. The record is from RefSeq and is a predicted model, not a curated record. The transcript has 2 exons.
AGGAAAUAGGUUGAAAAGGAAGGGAAGGAAACGAAAAGGAGGAAAAUAAAAAAUGAAAGGAAAUGAAGAAGAGAAGGUAGGGAGGAAAUUUAAUAAAAUGAAGAAGGAAAUAAAGAAAUAUGGGAAGGAAAGGAAAGGAAGAUAAAAGAAGAAAUGAAGGAAAGUAAGGAAAUAAAGAAGAGGAGGUAAGGAAGGAAAUUAAAAGGAAGAAAGUGGAGAAGACGAAGAAAGAUGAAAGAAAAAAUAAGGAGAGGAAAGAUAGGUGGGAGGUAAGGAAGAAAAGAUGAAGGGAAGUGAAGACAAUAGAAAAGAAGGGAAGGGAAAUGAAGAAGAGGAGGUAGGGAAGACAAAGAAAGAUGGAAAGGAAAGAGAGGAAGAAAGAUACAGAAAAAAUAAGGAGAGGAAAGAUAGGUAGGAGGUAAGGAAGAAAAGAUGACGGUAACUGAAGACAAUAGAAAAGAAGGGAAGGGAA